AUGCACGCUGGCGGCGUGCCUCAUACAUGCAAGUCGAGCGCACAGACGAGGAGCUUGCUCCUCUGACGUUAGCGGCGGACGGGUGAGUAACACGUGGAUAACCUACCUAUAAGACUGGGAUAACUUCGGGAAACCGGAGCUAAUACCGGAUAAUAUAUUGAACCGCAUGGUUCAAUAGUGAAAGACGGUUUUGCUGUCACUUAUAGAUGGAUCCGCGCCGCAUUAGCUAGUUGGUAAGGUAACGGCUUACCAAGGCAACGAUGCGUAGCCGACCUGAGAGGGUGAUCGGCCACACUGGAACUGAGACACGGUCCAGACUCCUACGGGAGGCAGCAGUAGGGAAUCUUCCGCAAUGGGCGAAAGCCUGACGGAGCAACGCCGCGUGAGUGAUGAAGGUCUUCGGAUCGUAAAACUCUGUUAUUAGGGAAGAACAAAUGUGUAAGUAACUAUGCACGUCUUGACGGUACCUAAUCAGAAAGCCACGGCGAACUACGU
This 495-nucleotide ribosomal RNA is filed under the name uncultured bacterium. RNAcentral's name for it is "partial 16S ribosomal RNA". It matches the Rfam family "Bacterial small subunit ribosomal RNA", at positions 29 to 506 of the family's 1533-position model. The record is from RNAcentral.